RNAcentral lists this long non-coding RNA (217 nucleotides) under Carica papaya (papaya). RNAcentral's name for it is "long non-coding RNA (CPAP_LNC009593)". The record is from RNAcentral. Lineage: Eukaryota; Viridiplantae; Streptophyta; Magnoliopsida; Brassicales; Caricaceae.
UGAAGUGUUGUGUGCUCCUGUAUUUGUAGCAGGAGUUGUUCAAACAAUAGCAAGACUAGUCACGAGGAUCUCGUCCGCAAUGAGGACAGGCCUAAGCAGACUGAAAGGGUUUUACAGGAGAUGGGGGCAAAGCAAGAUUAAAUGUUAUACGGGAUUUCUUAUCAACAUAGUCGGGGUGAGUGUUAGUUAUGUGCUACUAUACGGAUAUGUGUGAUAU